CACAGUUCUAGCGCAAGGACGAAAACAAAUAUUUUUCCCUCGCCUAGAAUACUUCUCGAUAACAAAGAAAAGCAGCUGCUAGAUGAGUACCAUGAAAUCUUUCCGUGAAUGCAACAACAUUCUGUACCCUAGAGAAGACAGAGACCAAAAAAUCCUCCUUUACGCUUUCCGCAACUGUGAUCAGUGAUCACCAGCAAGUGGCUGAUAAUAACUGUGUGUACUGAAAGAGGUGCAUCACUCAGUAGCAGAGAAAACUCAGGUAUUACAUGUAGCUGCUGACCCUACUCUUCCUCGCACUAAAGCUGUUACUUGCACUGUCUGCAAACAUCCUGAAGCUGUCUUCUUCCAGGCAACUUCUAGGACGCUGUUUUUUGUGUGCUGCAACCCGAAUUGUUGCCACAGGUGGAGAGACUGAGAUUUAUCUGUCCAUCAAUCAAAGCUCUAAUUAGGACAUUUAGAAAUGCUUUCAAGACUGAUAUAGACUAUAUCAUAUAGUUAGAUCCCAUGCACGGGUUCUUUAUCUGCUGAUUUUGUGGAGGUUUUUGCGAUCAUUUUGUAUACUUUCAUAGUAGUAAUAGUCAACGCGGAAGGAUUUUAUAUCAUCAUUGAGAAACCAAAUUUAGGGGCCAGACUUUAUCGGUUACAACCACUUCAGUAUGAUGCAAUUCAGACUACGAAAAAGAAAAGGUCUGAUGUUUCUAGGCCUCCCUAAUAAUGCCCAAACUCCCGAUGGUUCCUUUUCAUUUAGAGCUACAGGCGCCAU
Populus euphratica (Euphrates poplar) is the source of this 763-nucleotide long non-coding RNA. RefSeq lists it as uncharacterized. The record is from RefSeq and is a predicted model, not a curated record. NCBI's taxonomy places the organism in Eukaryota, Viridiplantae, Streptophyta, Magnoliopsida, Malpighiales, Salicaceae. The transcript is spliced from 4 exons.